CCUACGGGUGGCAGCAGUGAGGAAUAUUGGUCAAUGGACGCAAGUCUGAACCAGCCAUGCCGCGUGCAGGAAGACGGCUCUAUGAGUUGUAAACUGCUUUUGUACGAGGGUAAACGCAGAUACGCGUAUCUGUCUGAAAGUAUCGUACGAAUAAGGAUCGGCUAACUCCGUGCCAGCAGCCGCGGUAAUACGGAGGAUUCAAGCGUUAUCCGGAUUUAUUGGGUUUAAAGGGUGCGUAGGCGGUCGGGUAAGUUAGAGGUGAAAUCCCGAGGCUCAACUUCGGAAUUGCCUCUGAUACUGUUAGGCUAGAGAGUAGGUGCGGUAGGCGGAAUGUAUGGUGUAGCGGUGAAAUGCUUAGAGAUCAUACAGAACACCGAUUGCGAAGGCAGCUUACCAAGUGACUUCUGACGUUGAGGCACGAAAGCGUGGGGAGCAAACAGGAUUAGAUACCCGUGUAGUC
RNAcentral lists this ribosomal RNA (460 nucleotides) under uncultured bacterium. Its description in RNAcentral is "partial 16S ribosomal RNA". It matches the Rfam family "Bacterial small subunit ribosomal RNA", at positions 338 to 795 of the family's 1533-position model. The record is from RNAcentral.